AUUGAACGCUGGCGGAAUGCUUUACACAUGCAAGUCGAACGGCAGCACGGGAGCUUGCUCCUGGUGGCGAGUGGCGAACGGGUGAGUAAUGCGUCGGAACGUGCCGAGUAAUGGGGGAUAACGCAGCGAAAGUUGUGCUAAUACCGCAUACGCCCUGAGGGGGAAAGUGGGGGAUCGCAAGACCUCACGUUAUUCGAGCGGCCGACGUCUGAUUAGCUAGUUGGUGGGUAAAGGCCUACCAAGGCGACGAUCAGUAGCGGGUCUGAGAGGAUGAUCCGCCACACUGGGACUGAGACACGGCCCAGACUCCUACGGGAGGCAGCAGUGGGGAAUUUUGGACAAUGGGGGCAACCCUGAUCCAGCCAUUCCGCGUGAGUGAAGAAGGCCUCGGUUGUAAGUACGUCUUUCUAGUCAGGAACGAAACGGUAGGUCCCGUAACUACGGACGUACUAAUAGACGGUACCGUACGAAGAAGAA
RNAcentral lists this ribosomal RNA (477 nucleotides) under uncultured bacterium. RNAcentral describes it as "bacterial SSU rRNA". It matches the Rfam family "Bacterial small subunit ribosomal RNA", at positions 30 to 492 of the family's 1533-position model. The record is from RNAcentral.